This 556-nucleotide ribosomal RNA is filed under the name uncultured bacterium. RNAcentral describes it as "partial 16S ribosomal RNA". It matches the Rfam family "Bacterial small subunit ribosomal RNA", at positions 355 to 900 of the family's 1533-position model. The record is from RNAcentral.
UAGGGAAUCUUCGGCAAUGGACGAAAGUCUGACCGAGCAACGCCGCGUGAGUGAAGAAGGUUUUCGGAUCGUAAAAACUCUGUUGGUAGAGAAGAACGUUGGUGAGAGUGGAAAGCUCAUCAAGUGACGGUAACUACCCAGAAAGGGACGGCUAACUACGUGCCAGCAGCCGCGGUAAUACGUAGGUCCCCGAGCGUUGUCCGGAUUUAUUGGGCGUAAAGCGAGCGCAGGUGGUUUAUUAAGUCUGGUGUAAAAGGCAGUGGCUCAACCAUUGUAUGCAUUGGAAACUGGUAGACUUGAGUGCAGGAGAGGAGAGUGGAAUUCCAUGUGUAGCGGUGAAAUGCGUAGAUAUAUGGAGGAACACCGGUGGCGAAAGCGGCUCUCUGGCCUGUAACUGACACUGAGGCUCGAAAGCGUGGGGAGCAAACAGGAUUAGAUACCCUGGUAGUUCACGCCGUAAACGAUGAGUGCUAGAUGUAGGGAGCUAUAAGUUCUCUGUAUCGCAGCUAACGCAAUAAGCACUCCGCCUGGGGGAGUACGACCGCAAGGUUGAAAC